GAUGAACGCUGGCGGCGUGCCUAAUACAUGCAAGUCGAGCGAACAGACGAGGAGCUUGCUCCUCUGACGUUAGCGGCGGACGGGUGAGUAACACGUGGAUAACCUACCUAUAAGACUGGGAUAACUUCGGGAAACCGGAGCUAAUACCGGAUAAUAUAUUGAACCGCAUGGUUCAAUAGUGAAAGACGGUUUUGCUGUCACUUAUAGAUGGAUCCGCGCCGCAUUAGCUAGUUGGUAAGGUAACGGCUUACCAAGGCAACGAUGCGUAGCCGACCUGAGAGGGUGAUCGGCCACACUGGAACUGUGACACGGUCCAGACUCCUACGGGAGGCAGCAGUAGGGAAUCUUCCGCAAUGGGCGAAAGCCUGACGGAGCAACGCCGCGUGAGUGAUGAAGGUCUUCGGAUCGUAAAACUCUGUUAUUAGGGAUGAACAAAUGUGUAAGUAACUAUGCACGUCUUGACGGUACCUAAUCAGAAAGCCACGGCUAACUACGUG
RNAcentral lists this ribosomal RNA (497 nucleotides) under uncultured bacterium. Its description in RNAcentral is "partial 16S ribosomal RNA". It matches the Rfam family "Bacterial small subunit ribosomal RNA", at positions 28 to 507 of the family's 1533-position model. The record is from RNAcentral.